RNAcentral lists this ribosomal RNA (388 nucleotides) under uncultured euryarchaeote. RNAcentral describes it as "bacterial SSU rRNA". It matches the Rfam family "Archaeal small subunit ribosomal RNA", at positions 339 to 727 of the family's 1478-position model. The record is from RNAcentral. Lineage: Archaea; Methanobacteriati; Methanobacteriota.
UCGCGAAAACUUUACAAUGCACGAAAGUGUGAUAGGGGAAUCCGAAGUGCUUACACAUUAGUGUAGGCUUUUGCCAAUAGUAAAAAUAUUGGAGAAUAAGUGGUGGGCAAGACCGGUGCCAGCCGCCGCGGUAACACCGGCGCCACGAGUGGGGACCACGUUUAUUGGGCUUAAAGCGUUCGUAGCCUGUUUGGUAAAUUCUUUGUGAAAUCGUUGCCCUUAAUGCAACGGCGUGCAGAGAACACUGCCUGACUAGGAACCGGGAGGGGUCAGAAGUAUGCCUUGGGGAGCGGUAAAAUGCUAUAAUCCUAGGUAGACUACCUUUGGCGAAGGCGUCUGACUAGAACGGAUUCGACGGUGAGGAACGAAAGCUAGGGGAGCGAUCUGG